CUUUCAAUGUGCUUGAAAUCUGUGAUAGAUCAAAAAGUUGUAUGCCAGUAUAGAUAGCCUUAAUAUCUUUGAUUUACGCCAUAUCUUAUGGGAAAUAAGAUGUUCGCGGAUACUGAAACGAAGCGGUUUUGUAUUACGAUGGCUAUGGAUUGAAAAAUAAAAAUAGAAAAUGUUGCCUCGUUCAGAUUGAAAAAUCGGCUUGCCGCCAUUGCUGCUGGAGGUCUGGUGUCUAGUCUGAAAUAUUCUCUUCUUUAGUGUCUUCUUCCUCACAUGAGACCAAGGAAAGCAUUUCCUAAAAUACCACUGGACUUAAUCUUUGCUCAAGAAUUGAUCAUUCCACAAGAAGAACCAGUUUAAAUUUGAUGAAGAAUUGCAGAUGAAAGUUUGAAUCUUGGAAAAAAAUAUUUGCAUUUCUUCAAUUUUAUAAAUUUCUACAUGUUAUUCUUAUUUGUGAAUGAUGAAUGUAGACAAUGCAAGGAAUUGUUAUAAUAAAAAUGAAUGCUUCAA
This is a long non-coding RNA of Xenia sp. Carnegie-2017, 507 nucleotides long. RefSeq lists it as uncharacterized. The record is from RefSeq and is a predicted model, not a curated record. Lineage: Eukaryota; Metazoa; Cnidaria; Anthozoa; Malacalcyonacea; Xeniidae. The transcript is spliced from 5 exons.